AUCAGCUUGUUGGUGAGGUAAUGGCUCACCAAGGCGACGACGGGUAGCCGGCCUGAGAGGGCGACCGGCCACACUGGAACUGAGACACGGUCCAGACUCCUACGGGAGGCAGCAGUGGGGAAUAUUGCACAAUGGGCGCAAGCCUGAUGCAUCGACGCCGCGUGGGGGAUGAAGGCCUUCGGGUUGUAAACCCCUUUCAGCAGGGAAGAAGCGAAAGUGACGUUACCUGCAUAAGAAGCGCCGGCUAACUACGUGCCAGCAGCCGCGGUAAUACGUAGGGCGCAAGCGUUGUCCGGAAUUAUUGGGCGUAAAGAGCUCGUAGGCGGUUCGUCGCGUCUGCUGUGAAAGCCCGAGGCUCAACCUCGGGUCUGCAGUGGGUACGGGCGGACUAGAGUGUGGUAGGGGAGACUGGAAUUCCUGGUGUAGCGGUGGAAUGCGCAGAUAUCAGGAGGAACACCAAUGGCGAAGGCAGGUCUCUGGGCCACAACUGACGCUGAGGAGCGAAAGCGUGGGGAGCGAACAGGAUUAGAUACCCUGGUAGUCCACGCCGUAAACGGUGGGCACUAGAUGUGGGGCUCUUUCCAUGAGUUCCGCGUCGCAGCUAACGCAUUAAGUGCCCCGCCUGGGGAGUACGGCCGCAAGGCUAAAACUCAAAGGAAUUGACGGGGGCCCGCACAAGCGGCGGAGCAUGCGGAUUAAUUUGAUGCAACGCGAAGAACCUUACCAAGGCUUGACAUAUACCUUCUAUCUUCAGAGAUGGGGAGUGCUUUUAGCGGGGUAUACAGGUGGUGCAUGGUUGUCGUCAGCUCGUGUCGUGAGAUGUUGGGUUAAGUCCCGCAACGAGCGCAACCCUCGUCCUAUGUUGCCAGCACGUAAUGGUGGGGACUCAUAGGAGACUGCCGGGGUCAACUCGGAGGAAGGUGGGGAGGACGUCAAAUCAUCAUGCCCCUUAUGUCUUGGGCUUCACGCAUGCUACAAUGGCCGGUACAAAGGGAUGCGAUACCGUAAGGUGGAGCGAAUCCCAAAAAGCCGGUCUCAGUUCGGAUUGAGGUCUGCAACUCGACCUCAUGAAGUUGGAGUCGCUAGUAAUCGCAGAUCAGCAACGCUGCGGUGAAUACGUUCCCGGGCCUUGUACACACCGCCCGU
Molecule: ribosomal RNA, 1146 nt
Filed under: Demequina sp. SL003B-18A1
Lineage: Bacteria; Bacillati; Actinomycetota; Actinomycetes; Micrococcales; Demequinaceae
Description: bacterial SSU rRNA
Rfam family: Bacterial small subunit ribosomal RNA
Source: RNAcentral